GGAAGCUGCAGCCAGACACGGAACCAUCAGGAAGCUCAGGCAACCGAGGGGUUCAGCAAAGGAGCACAGGGUAGCAUUAUCUUCAGUCAGCGUUCUAGUGCCUCAGGGGAAAGAUCAAAACUGGCUACAGGGCUGACGGGCCUCUGCCCUGACACAACCUGACAGGUGGCCUCGAAGCAAUGAGCAUCACUGGCAGCUGUGCAGCCUGGAAAGCUGUCUGUCAUUGAGCUGGCUGUGUUUGGCAUUUAUUCAGCCGUGUCCAGAAUUUUAUCCUACAGUGCUAGACUCCAAAU
Long non-coding RNA from Microtus oregoni (creeping vole), 293 nucleotides. RefSeq lists it as uncharacterized. The transcript is spliced from 4 exons. The record is from RefSeq and is a predicted model, not a curated record. Lineage: Eukaryota; Metazoa; Chordata; Mammalia; Rodentia; Cricetidae.